UGGGGAAUAUUGCACAAUGGGCGCAAGCCUGAUGCAGCGACGCCGCGUGCGGGAUGGAGGCCUUCGGGUCGUAAACCGCUUUUGUUCAAGGGCAAGGCACGGUCUUUGGCCGUGUUGAGUGGAUUGUUCGAAUAAGCACCGGCUAACUACGUGCC
RNAcentral lists this ribosomal RNA (155 nucleotides) under uncultured bacterium. Its description in RNAcentral is "partial 16S ribosomal RNA". It matches the Rfam family "Bacterial small subunit ribosomal RNA", at positions 355 to 509 of the family's 1533-position model. The record is from RNAcentral.